RNAcentral lists this ribosomal RNA (446 nucleotides) under uncultured bacterium. RNAcentral describes it as "bacterial SSU rRNA". It matches the Rfam family "Bacterial small subunit ribosomal RNA", at positions 217 to 662 of the family's 1533-position model. The record is from RNAcentral.
GGUAUGGGAUGAGCUUGCGUCCGAUUAGCUAGUUGGCGGGGCAACGGCCCACCAAGGCGACGAUCGGUAGCCGGCCUGAGAGGGUGAUCGGCCACAUUGGGACUGAGAUACGGCCCAGACUCCUACGGGAGGCAGCAGUAGGGAAUAUUGCACAAUGGGGGAAACCCUGACGCAGCAACGCCACGUGUGGGAAGAAGCAUUUCGGUGUGUAAACCACUGUCAUGAGGGAAUAAGGCCCUUAUUCGUAAGGGAUUGAAUGUACCUUGAGAGGAAGCACCGGCAAACUUCGUGCCAGCAGCCGCGGUAAUACGAGGGGUGCAAGCGUCGUUCGGAAUUACUGGGCGUAAAGGGAGCGUAGGCGGAGAUUCAAGCGGAUUGUACAAUCCCGGGGCCCAACCCCGGCUCUGCAGUCCGAACUGGAUCUCUUGGAUAGUUCAGGGGCAGGC